UGCUGCAGUAUCAGAUAUUUCUUCAACGAAACAUCAGACUCUUACUUAACAUGGGCAAGGAAAGGACCAGCGUCAACAUGGCCGUCGUCGGCUACUACUAGACCUUCUAUCAGAUGGACGGCUAGUACAACACGGAUUUGGCCCGGCUUCUGUACACGGACACGUUCUGGACACGGACAACACGAUGCUUGCUUACCGGAUUACACCUCAAUCAUUUUUGUAGGCCUACAUUGACCAAAUAAAUCAAAAUUUCCUGUUUUA
RNAcentral lists this long non-coding RNA (261 nucleotides) under Homalodisca vitripennis (glassy-winged sharpshooter). RNAcentral describes it as "uncharacterized LOC124373081". Lineage: Eukaryota; Metazoa; Arthropoda; Insecta; Hemiptera; Cicadellidae. The record is from RNAcentral.